GUGGGGAAUCUUGCGCAAUGGGCGAAAGCCUGACGCAGCCAUGCCGCGUGAAUGAUGAAGGUCUUAGGAUUGUAAAAUUCUUUCACCGGGGACGAUAAUGACGGUACCCGGAGAAGAAGCCCCGGCUAACUUCGUGCCAGCAGCCGCGGUAAUACGAAGGGGGCUAGCGUUGCUCGGAAUUACUGGGCGUAAAGGGCGCGUAGGCGGAUCGUUAAGUCAGGGGUGAAAUCCCAGAGCUCAACUCUGGAACUGCCCUUGAUACUGGCGAUCUUGAGUGUGAGAGAGGUAUGUGGAACUCCGAGUGUAGAGGUGAAAUUCGUAGAUAUCCGGAAGAACACCAGUGGCGAAGGCGACAUACUGGCUCAUUACUGACGCUGAGGCGCGAAAGCGUGGGGAGCAAACAGGAUUAGAAACCCCAGUAGUCC
RNAcentral lists this ribosomal RNA (425 nucleotides) under uncultured bacterium. RNAcentral describes it as "partial 16S ribosomal RNA". It matches the Rfam family "Bacterial small subunit ribosomal RNA", at positions 354 to 796 of the family's 1533-position model. The record is from RNAcentral.